Haemonchus contortus (barber pole worm) is the source of this 75-nucleotide non-coding RNA. The record is from Rfam. Lineage: Eukaryota; Metazoa; Nematoda; Chromadorea; Rhabditida; Trichostrongylidae.
GGCCCAAAUUUGAAGUAGAGUAGAUUAGAAAGAUCAUCUGUCUCUACUCAAUUACUCUUCUUCGAGUUUGUGCCC